This 758-nucleotide ribosomal RNA is filed under the name Listeria monocytogenes. RNAcentral describes it as "bacterial SSU rRNA". It matches the Rfam family "Bacterial small subunit ribosomal RNA", at positions 783 to 1533 of the family's 1533-position model. The record is from RNAcentral. Lineage: Bacteria; Bacillati; Bacillota; Bacilli; Caryophanales; Listeriaceae.
UACCCUGGUAGUCCACGCCGUAAACGAUGAGUGCUAAGUGUUAGGGGGUUUCCGCCCCUUAGUGCUGCAGCUAACGCAUUAAGCACUCCGCCUGGGGAGUACGACCGCAAGGUUGAAACUCAAAGGAAUUGACGGGGGCCCGCACAAGCGGUGGAGCAUGUGGUUUAAUUCGAAGCAACGCGAAGAACCUUACCAGGUCUUGACAUCCUUUGACCACUCUGGAGACAGAGCUUUCCCUUCGGGGACAAAGUGACAGGUGGUGCAUGGUUGUCGUCAGCUCGUGUCGUGAGAUGUUGGGUUAAGUCCCGCAACGAGCGCAACCCUUGAUUUUAGUUGCCAGCAUUUAGUUGGGCACUCUAAAGUGACUGCCGGUGCAAGCCGGAGGAAGGUGGGGAUGACGUCAAAUCAUCAUGCCCCUUAUGACCUGGGCUACACACGUGCUACAAUGGAUAGUACAAAGGGUCGCGAAGCCGCGAGGUGGAGCUAAUCCCAUAAAACUAUUCUCAGUUCGGAUUGUAGGCUGCAACUCGCCUACAUGAAGCCGGAAUCGCUAGUAAUCGUGGAUCAGCAUGCCACGGUGAAUACGUUCCCGGGCCUUGUACACACCGCCCGUCACACCACGAGAGUUUGUAACACCCGAAGUCGGUAGGGUAACCUUUAUGGAGCCAGCCGCCGAAGGUGGGACAGAUAAUUGGGGUGAAGUCGUAACAAGGUAGCCGUAUCGGAAGGUGCGGCUGGAUCACCUCCUUUCUAAGGAA